This 253-nucleotide ribosomal RNA is filed under the name uncultured bacterium. RNAcentral describes it as "partial 16S ribosomal RNA". It matches the Rfam family "Bacterial small subunit ribosomal RNA", at positions 524 to 776 of the family's 1533-position model. The record is from RNAcentral.
UACGAAGGGGGCUAGCGUUGCUCGGAAUGACUGGGCGUAAAGGGCGCGUAGGCGGUUUGGUAAGUCCGCUCUGAAAGCCCGGGGCUCAACCCCGGGAGGCGGGUGGAUACUGUCAAGCUCGAGUCCGGAAGAGGCGAGUGGAAUUCCUGGUGUAGCGGUGAAAUGCGCAGAUAUCAGGAGGAACACCAAUGGCGAAGGCAGCUCGCUGGGACGUGACUGACGCUGAGACGCGAAAGCGUGGGGAGCAAACGGG